UACCGCCCAAGAGUUCAUAUCGACGGCGGUGUUUGGCACCUCGAUGUCGGCUCAUCACAUCCUGGGGCUGAAGUAGGUCCCAAGGGUAUGGCUGUUCGCCAUUUAAAGUGGUACGCGAGCUGGGUUUAGAACGUCGUGAGACAGUUCGGUCCCUAUCUGCCGUGGGCGCUGGAGAAUUGAGGGGGGCUGCUCCUAGUACGAGAGGACCGGAGUGGACGCAUCACUGGUGUUCGGGUUGUCAUGCCAAUGGCACUGCCCGGUAGCUAAAUGCGGAAGAGAUAAGUG
Molecule: ribosomal RNA, 285 nt
Filed under: Pseudomonas aeruginosa
Lineage: Bacteria; Pseudomonadati; Pseudomonadota; Gammaproteobacteria; Pseudomonadales; Pseudomonadaceae
Description: partial 23S ribosomal RNA
Rfam family: Bacterial large subunit ribosomal RNA
Source: RNAcentral